RNAcentral lists this ribosomal RNA (891 nucleotides) under uncultured bacterium. RNAcentral's name for it is "bacterial SSU rRNA". It matches the Rfam family "Bacterial small subunit ribosomal RNA", at positions 494 to 1397 of the family's 1533-position model. The record is from RNAcentral.
CGGCUAACUACGUGCAGCAGCGCGUAUACGUAGGCGCGAGCGUGUCGAUUAAUGGGCGUAAGAGCUCGUAGCGUUGUCGCGUCUGCUGUGGAAUCCUCUGGCUUAACUGGGGGCGUGCAGUGGGUACGGGCAGACUGGAGUGCGGUAGGGGAGACUGGAAUUCCUGGUGUAGCGGUGGAAUGCGCAGAUAUCAGGAGGAACACCGGUGGCGAAGGCGGGUCUCUGGGCCGUUACUGACGCUGAGGAGCGAAAGCAUGGGGAGCGAACAGGAUUAGAUACCCUGGUAGUCCAUGCCGUAAACGUUGGGAACUAGGUGUGGGGUCCAUUCCACGGGUCCUGUGCCGUAGCUAACGCAUUAAGUUCCCCGCCUGGGGAGUACGGCCGCAAGGCUAAAACUCAAAGGAAUUGACGGGGGCCCGCACAAGCGGCGGAGCAUGCGGAUUAAUUCGAUGCAACGCGAAGAACCUUACCAAGGCUUGACAUGCAUUCGACGUCUCCAGAGAUGGGGGUUCCGUAAGGCGGGUGCACAGGUGGUGCAUGGUUGUCGUCAGCUCGUGUCGUGAGAUGUUGGGUUAAGUCCCGCAACGAGCGCAACCCUUGUUCCAUGUUGCCAGCGGGUGAUGCCGGGGACUCAUGGGAGACUGCCGGGGUCAACUCGGAGGAAGGUGGGGAUGACGUCAAAUCAUCAUGCCCCUUAUGUCUUGGGCUUCACGCAUGCUACAAUGGCCGGUACAAAGGGUUGCGAUCCUGUGAGGGGGAGCGAAUCCCAAAAAGCCGGUCUCAGUUCGGAUUGGGGUCUGCAACUCGACCCCAUGAAGUCGGAGUCGCUAGUAAUCGCAGAUCAGCAACGCUGCGGUGAAUACGUUCUCGGGCCUUGCACACACCGCCCGU